GGGUCUUUGCUUGCGGAAGUGUCCCCAGGGAGGGCUUUACCAGACCCUCAGCUGCUUCCUGCACUGGAGCCCAGCUGGUCUCCCAGGGGUGGGUAGUCAUUCCACUGACUUCACACACUAUGCCCUGGUUCUCCAAAUUGCACUGGUGCCAAAGUGCUCUUGCUGCUUUCUGUUCAGGUCCUCUAAGAGCAAAGGAUAAAGCUGGAAGAAUAACACCUUCCCCAGCGUCCUCUGACAUCGUAGAGGAAAUCAUAAAGGAGUUAGCGAAGGCAGCACCUGGUGGGUAUAUUUCACUCUGUCUUUUGAGAAGCACUACCUUCCAGAGACACCAUCCUGGAAAGGAGGAGCCGUUCCUUAUACUCACACUGUCCUGCUUUCUUUCUAAAGGGAUGGCCAGAGAGACAGUACCGAAGGAAGUACUUUGGAAAUUAAACGGCCGCACGCUGCCGCUCUCUGGGAAAGGGGCAGAGGCAACGCAGGCAACUGCCACACCAGCUGUUCUCAUAGGCUCUGCCUAUCCAACACCUCAGCCUCAUGUGGACCACGAGUCUCAGCCCAAUCCAACAGCUAAGUCAGCGCAAGGAAGGAGCAUCCAGGUGCUGCAGAGCCCAAAUGUCAGACAGGCAUCCCUGCAGGAUGAUGCAGGUUGUGCCCUGUCCAGGCACGACCCCUGGUAUGCUCUCCUUCUGAACUACUGAUGUAGGUGUUGAUGUGACAGAAACUUCUCACGGGUCUUUGCUUGCAGAAGUGUCCCCAGGGAGGGCUUUACCAGACCCUCGGCUGCUUCCUGCACUGGAGCCCAGCUGGUCUCCCAGGGGUGGGUAGUCAUUCCACUGACUUCACACACUAUGCCCGGGUUCUCCAAAUUGCACUGGUGCCAAAAUGAACUUGCUGCUUUCUGUUCAGGUCCUCUAAGAGCAAAGGAUGAAGCUAGAAGAAUAACACCUUCCCCAGCGUCCUCUGACAUCGUAGAGGAAAUCAUAAAGGAGUUACAGGAGGCAGCACCUG
This 1008-nucleotide long non-coding RNA is filed under the name Anas platyrhynchos platyrhynchos (common mallard). Its description in RNAcentral is "lncRNA (ENSAPLG00000024238.1)". The record is from RNAcentral. Lineage: Eukaryota; Metazoa; Chordata; Aves; Anseriformes; Anatidae.